This 345-nucleotide ribosomal RNA is filed under the name uncultured bacterium. RNAcentral's name for it is "bacterial SSU rRNA". It matches the Rfam family "Bacterial small subunit ribosomal RNA", at positions 190 to 572 of the family's 1533-position model. The record is from RNAcentral.
GACCCUGACUGCCAAAGAUUUAUCGCUCUGAGAUGGCCUCGCGUCUGAUUAGCUAGUAGGCGGGGUAACGGCCCACCUAGGCGACGAUCAGUAGCCGGACUGAGAGGUUGACCGGCCACAUUGGGACUGAGACACGGCCCAGACUCCUACGGGAGGCAGCAGUGGGGAAUAUUGGGCAAUGGGCGCAAGCCUGACCCAGCAACGCCGCGUGAAGGAUGAAGGCUUUCGGGUUGUAAACUUCUUUAUUCGGGGUCGACGCGGCCGAUAUUGUUGAGGGUGAUAGCUUCCCCACGGCGAUCGCCCACUGCCCGUCUCAGGGGAAGGGACUGGUUGUAAUACUCUUUU